ACGAACGCUGGCGGCGUGCCUAAUACCUGCAAGUCGAACGCUUCUUUCCUCCCGAGUGCUUGCACUCAAUUGGAAAGAGGAGUGGCGGACGGGUGAGUAACACGUGGGUAACCUACCCAUCAGAGGGGGAUAACACUUGGAAACAGGUGCUAAUACCGCAUAACAGUUUAUGCCGCAUGGCAUAAGAGUGAAAGGCGCUUUCGGGUGUCGCUGAUGGAUGGGCCCGCGGUGCAUUAGCUAGUUGGUGAGGUAACGGCUCACCAAGGCCACGAUGCAUAGCCGACCUGAGAGGGUGAUCGGCCACACUGGGACUGAGACACGGCCCAGACUCCUACGGGAGGCAGCAGUAGGGAAUCUUCGGCAAUGGACGAAAGUCUGACCGAGCAACGCCGCGUGAGUGAAGAAGGUUUUCGGAUCGUAAAACUCUGUUGUUAGAGAAGAACAAGGACGUUAGUAACUGAACGUCCCCUGACGGUAUCUAACCAGAAAGCCACGGCUAACUACGUG
This 507-nucleotide ribosomal RNA is filed under the name uncultured bacterium. RNAcentral describes it as "partial 16S ribosomal RNA". It matches the Rfam family "Bacterial small subunit ribosomal RNA", at positions 29 to 507 of the family's 1533-position model. The record is from RNAcentral.